GCCUUCGUAGUGUAGUGGUCAGCACGUUCGAUGCCUAUUCGAGAGAUCCGUGGUUCGAGUCCUGGCCACAGCA
RNAcentral lists this transfer RNA (73 nucleotides) under Stegodyphus mimosarum. It matches the Rfam family "tRNA". From Rfam's summary of the family: Transfer RNA (tRNA) molecules are approximately 80 nucleotides in length. Their secondary structure includes four short double-helical elements and three loops (D, anti-codon, and T loops). Lineage: Eukaryota; Metazoa; Arthropoda; Arachnida; Araneae; Eresidae. The record is from Rfam by way of RNAcentral.